Biomphalaria pfeifferi is the source of this 1583-nucleotide non-coding RNA. NCBI's taxonomy places the organism in Eukaryota, Metazoa, Mollusca, Gastropoda, Planorbidae. The record is from the annotation of a GenBank genome assembly.
AGACUUAGCGAAUGGUUUUAUUUAUCAUCAAUUUCAGAUCAACAAGAAACCAAAGGGUACAAUGUUAAUGACCAAAUAAAUAUAUUUAAAUACAUAAAACCUUUCCACAACUUUCAGAUUCUUAGAAGAUUUGUAACAUGCAAUGACCACAAUAUAAUUUGUAAAUAAAAAAAGCCAUGCAAAUUCUUUAAUUUACAGUUACUUUAUGUCCUGGAAUGUAAUUUAUACCUUUAUAUCUAUUUUAUAAAAACAAAAGAUGACAGUUAUCCUGGUGCACUGACUUAAAAUAAAAUAUAACACUAACUUACAAAAGAUCAAAAUUUUCCUGCCAAUACACAAUUGCUGUUACUAAGGUUAUAAUGAGUCCACUAAGACAAAAAUAUGUGCACUCAUUUGAACAACACAAAUGGAAAGCAAAAUUUAUCACAGUUUAUAAUUUGGAUAACUUGAAUUAUGGCAUGGCUAAAAAUCUUUUGAACAAUGCAAGUUUCUUUUUUUCCCCCAAAUAAAUCCACACUAGCAAUCCUAGUUUCACUAUGCAUAAUCUUUUGUUUGUUUUUUCCACACUAGAAGUUUGGCAUUCAUGUUUAAAAAAUGAAUAAGUGAGACAAUAAAAGAAAGCAGUGACAAACUAAUAUGUACACAACAAAUAGAAUUGGAAAUGAAAUUGAGUACACCAUUAAGGCAGAUAGAUAUAAACUGUAGUGCUUUACAAACUUCUCUUACAUUGAAGAGAAUAACAAAAGCUCUAGUAUUAGAUCAAUUUUUUUGUUUGUAAAACAUUCAUAGUAAAGUAGUUGGUUGUUGUUUUUUUUUAGUUAAUAGAAAAUAAUUUUUUAUAUUAAUAACUAAAUGUAUGGAGAAACAAAAAUAAUUUGUCACAAAAAAAAAAAUGGUUUCAUCAUAAAAUGGAUAAAUCAAAAUCAUUUUGACAGGAGUGUAAGCUGAGAAGAAACUUUAUGCUGAAAUACAAGGAUUAUACAAUGCACAAAAGAAAAUAAUAAACAACUGAGUAUUUUGUACUACUUCAAUGCAGUAUGUAACAAAUUCUUCUGGAAAUUGUUUCACGAAAGAAAGCAUCCUACAGGCCUAAGUAUACAUGUUUGGUAUAAUUAUUCCAACACUGUACCAAAUCUACUUUAGUAUUUGUUGUUUUUAUUCUGCAUCAAUUAUUCUUUUAGUUUUCUAUUUAGUUACCAACCACUACCACAAGUAAAUGCUGCAGUGUAAGAACUGCUAAGGACAUCUUUUUGGGAUUUCAGAUAAACAUACCAUAUUAGUUACUAUUAUUAUGAUGAGCCGAGGAAGAAAAAUAAAGCAGGAGGAAAAUAAGCACAUUGGAAAGAAACUCAUAUAUUGCAAAUAUUUAGUAAUAGUGAACCGGUGGAAAAGAUAAUUUAAUUGUCAAUAGCAAUUAGCACAUUUUUAGUUUAAAUCUGAGUACACACACAUAUAUAUAUAUAUAUAUUGAAAAUGUCAUUUAUGUGCCCUGGGCAACAGAAUGUACAAUAACAGAUUUUAUGAACUAAGAAAAGAAUAUAAAAAAAGUAACAAAGAUUUAGAAAAAAAAAAAAAGAAAAAAA